This 301-nucleotide ribosomal RNA is filed under the name uncultured bacterium. RNAcentral's name for it is "partial 16S ribosomal RNA". It matches the Rfam family "Bacterial small subunit ribosomal RNA", at positions 509 to 807 of the family's 1533-position model. The record is from RNAcentral.
CAGCAGCCACGGUAAAACGAGGGGAGCUAGCGUUAUUCGGAAUUACUGGGCGUAAAGCGCACGUAGGCGGCUUUGUAAGUUAGAGGUGAAAGCCCAGAGCUCAACUCUGGAAUUGCCUUUAAGACUGCAUCGCUUGAAUCCAGGAGAGGUGAGUGGAAUUCCGAGUGUAGAGGUGAAAUUCGUAGAUAUUCGGAAGAACACCAGUGGCGAAGGCGGCUCACUGGACUGGUAUUGACGCUGAGGUGCGAAAGCGUGGGGAGCAAACAGGAUUAGAUACCCCCGUAGUCCCUGUCUCUUAUAC